UAGUCCACGCCGUAAACGAUGAUUACUCGGUGCUAGCGAUAUACAGUUAGUGCCUAAGCGAAAGCGAUAAGUAAUCCACCUGGGGAGUACGGUCGCAAGAUUGAAACUCAAAGGAAUUGACGGGGGCCCGCACAAGCGGUGGAGCAUGUGGUUUAAUUCGAUGAUACGCGAGGAACCUUACCUGGGCUUAAAUGUAGAUUGACAGUUUGAGAAAUCAGAUUUUCUUCGGACAAUUUACAAGGUGCUGCAUGGUUGUCGUCAGCUCGUGCUGUGAGGUGUCGGGUUAAGUCCCAUAACGAGCGCAACCCCUAUCCUUAGUUGCCAGCGAGUAAUGUCGGGGACUCUAGGGAAACUGCCGGUGCAAACCGUGAGGAAGGUGGGGAUGACGUCAAAUCAUCACGGCCCUUACGUCCAGGGCUACACACGUGCUACAAUGGCGCAUACAAAGGGCAGCUACAUGGUGACAUGGUGCUAAUCUCUAAAGUGCGUCUCAGUUCGGAUCG
This 503-nucleotide ribosomal RNA is filed under the name uncultured bacterium. RNAcentral describes it as "bacterial SSU rRNA". It matches the Rfam family "Bacterial small subunit ribosomal RNA", at positions 791 to 1300 of the family's 1533-position model. The record is from RNAcentral.